UACGGAGGGGGCUAGCGUUGUUCGGAAUUACUGGGCGUAAAGCGCGCGUAGGCGGCUUUGUAAGUUAGAGGUGAAAGCCCGGAGCUUAACUCCGGAACUGCCUUUAAGACUGCAUCGCUAGAAUCGUGGAGAGGUGAGUGGAAUUCCGAGUGUAGAGGUGAAAUUCGUAGAUAUUCGGAAGAACACCAGUGGCGAAGGCGGCUGACUGGACACAUAUUGACGCUGAGGCUCGAAAGCAUGGGGAGCAAACAGG
RNAcentral lists this ribosomal RNA (253 nucleotides) under uncultured bacterium. RNAcentral describes it as "partial 16S ribosomal RNA". It matches the Rfam family "Bacterial small subunit ribosomal RNA", at positions 524 to 776 of the family's 1533-position model. The record is from RNAcentral.